This 3438-nucleotide ribosomal RNA is filed under the name Triticum aestivum (bread wheat). Its description in RNAcentral is "partial small subunit ribosomal RNA". The record is from RNAcentral. Lineage: Eukaryota; Viridiplantae; Streptophyta; Magnoliopsida; Poales; Poaceae.
GCCCGUUGGAGUUGCUCUUAGUUUGGACGAUAGUUGAAAUGUAUGGUACCCCUUUGUUGAGAUGGACGGACGCCGGAGAAAAUUUGUGAUCGUAGAUGCCCUUCCACCACGCCAUUACGAAUCACUGUACGUAUCCCGCACAUCAUUGGGCAAAAUCCAUGGCCGUCCCGGUUCAAAAGUUACCACCGCCGGUCCGGCGAGCCCGACCCGGGCCCCGCUGCCGCGCCGCUCCGCACGGAGACCAAGCGCCCACCAUUCUCCAAAAACACGCAGCCCCCUCCGCGCUACCGUUCCAACUCCACACUUCUCCUCCUCUCCUCUCCUCUCUUCUCCCCGCCUCGGAUCCCCUUUCCUUUCCUCCCGCCCUCGGCCGCGGCGCGCGACGCCUCCGCCCGGCCCGUCCCCCGGAUGGGGUACCUCUCCUGCCGGGCGGACUCGUCCGCGGCGACGUGCCGCUCCAUCACGGCCAUCUCGCCGCUCCCCAUCUCGCGCCGCUCACGGCCCCCCGCCGCCGCAGGGCUGCCGCCCGCCGCCCCCCCGGAGAUCGAACGCUUCGCGUACGACGACCUGGAGGCCGCCACGUCCCGCUUCGCCGACGCCGCGCUGCUCGGCCGGGGCAGCCACGGGGCCGUCUACAAGGCCGUGCUCCCCUCGGGCCGCGCCGUCGCCGUCAAGCGGCCCUCCCCGCGCCGCGCCGAGGUGGACAACGAGAUCCGCAUCCUCUCCUCCGUGCGCGGCCCGCGCCUCGUCAACCUCCUCGGCUACUCCGACCCCGGCCCGGGCCCCGACCCGCUGCGCCGCCCGCGCCUGCUCGUCGUCGAGUACAUGCCCAACGGCACGCUCUACGACCUGCUCCACUCCAACCCGCGCCCGCCCGGCUGGCCCCGCCGCGUCCGCCUCGCGCUGCAGACCGCCAGGGCGCUCCGCGCGCUCCACGACGCCGAGCCCGCCGUCAUCCACCGCGACGUCAAGUCCGCCAACGUCCUGCUCGACGCCCACCUCGACGCGCACCUCGGCGACUUCGGCCUCGCCCUCCGCGUCCCCAAGCGGGACGGCGGCCCCGGCAAUGCCGCCACGCCGGCGCCCGCGGGCACGCUCGGCUACCUCGACCCGGCCUACGUCACCCCGGAGAGCCUCAGCACCAAGACCGACGUCUUCAGCUUCGGGAUCCUGCUGCUGGAGAUCAUGAGCGGACGCAAGGCCAUCGACGUUCAGUACUCGCCGCCCUCCGUCGUCGAGUGGGCGGUGCCCCUGCUACGCAAGGGGAAGGUCGUCGCGCUGUUUGACCCACGGGUGGCGCCGCCCCGCGACCCAGUCACUCGGAGGGACCUGGCUUCGCUGGCGGCGAGCUGUGUGCGGUCCUGCCGGGAGCGACGGCCUUCAAUGGCUGACAUUGUUGAGCGGCUCGCCGUCAUCAGCAAGGCGGUGUCUGCCAAGGUGUGGAACGGGAUGGCGGUGGUAGGGAACCCUUGCGCCAUUGUUGAUGUUCAGAAGACCAUCUCGAAGCGAGCUGCUGCAUCGGAGAAGGAAUCGACUUCAGCAUUGGCAUUUGAUGAUGAUGAUAAGGAGGCAGAUGCGACCUUGGAGGAGCUGGUGCCGCUGGUGGGUGCCAAGAAACCACCACGGCCGUUGAAGAACGGAAAGGUGUUCUCUGAGGCAGGGGAUGGUGAGAGGAGAAAUCUAUUGGAGCUGAUGGCUCGGAUUGAUGGUGUUGCUGGCCAAAGAUUUGGCAUCAGUCGGGCAAGAACAGUGCGCGGCACUAGUGAUCUUAUACAAAAGGAUGCAGUCUUGAUCCUGAGGAGGAACCAAACCGUAAGAGUGGUUGAAUCAGAGGCACUCGGUAAAGUUGAAAGGGUUUCGUGUUUAGAUGCAAGCAUCAAGCAUAAACCUGCAAAAGAAUUUCAAGAGAAACCAGAGAAAAUGCAAGACAAGGCCGAUGGAGUGCAAGAGAGAGCAGAGAAAAUCCAAGAGAAGGAAGGCAAAAUCCAAGAAAAUCCAGGGGAAAUUGAUAAAGUUGAGAAUAUCCAAGAAAAGACGGGGCAAAUCCUUGACAAAGCUGAGAAAAUCGAAGAAAAGACAGGGCAGAUCCUUGACAAAGCGGAGAAAAUCCAAGGCACGCCGGAGAAAGUCCAAGAAAAUGAAAGAAAAAUCCAAGAGCACACGGAGGUAGUCCAACACAAUGUGGAGAAGAUCCAAGACAAAGCAGAGAAGAUCCAAUGCAAGUUGAAACAAAGUUAAAAUCACACAAUUAUUCUUGAGGCCAGCUUGAUGAAUUAUUGUUGGCAGUCGAUCUCAAGGACAAAGCUCAUCAAGUCAUGAGGUACCACCACCAAUCUUACUCUUCUGGUGCUGGGAUGGUAAUAUCUGAUCCAUCCAAAUAGGAUGGCCUGGCUGUGACUUGUGAUGAUUCACCAGUAAGACCUAGGAAUUCAAAUCCUAGCUAGGUGGUCCGUCAUUUGCAGCAUUACCACUGUGCCAGCAAUGUUAUCAAAGGUCACAUGGUACUGGUACUGUCAAAACUCUGAAGCCUGAACGACAACACAGUCCAGCACGUCGUGAGAUGAUGAUACAGCACUUGGGUGCUGUUAAUGCAAUCCACACUCCGUGUAAGCAACUGAUGUUCAUUUUGCCGCUUCAGAUCAAAUCAUGUGGAGCUUCAAAAUGGACAUCCGUUGAAGGCAUGCAUGCCUUAGUUGAAAUAGAUUGUUGUUGUAGCUUUUGUGCAGCUUCCUUGAUUCUUUUUCCUGUGUCUGCGUACAAGAAUCAACAAGUGCCCCAUUGAUUGAUUUGUAUGUAAACAGGACGGCUGAUGAAGUGGAUGUUAAGAGGGAAAAAAAUUUAUUUUGACAUUUCCAUCUUAUCUUGAGGCUUUGAUUGGGAACGCACGGCGGAUGGUGGCUAGUCUUUUCCUGAGCAUCCUUCAACAGGUUUUGAUUGGGCGCGUCGUUCUUAUCUAUUUUGAAUUUGGUUGGUGCAUUCAUUGCCAAUAUAUUCAUCACAUGAAAUGUGUGGGACAACUGAACAUUGCCGUCCUUGCUUCCAUAUGAAUGUUUUGCCCAGCUGUCUGCGUCGUCAUAUGGACUCGAUGCAUUCUUUAAUGUGCAUAUGGGGCAUCUAUAGGAUAUAAUUAUCUCAGAAAUGCCCAGAAGUUUUGGGGUUUAUUGGUUUGUUCAUAGCAGGGCAGUACAUGCUCUCUUCACUCUUGGUAUUGCUUUUGCCGGCCAGCAGAAGAGGUUAUGAACACUACAGUCUUAUUAGCUUGAUCAAGAUCUACCUUGUAUCUUUGUCAAAUCAGCAAUGUAAUUCUGUGGAAGAAGUGCAUGUAUAUGGGGGGUGGGGUGGUACAAGAGUGGGUGAGAGUGAGCAUGGGAAGUAGGAACAUGAUGCAUGAUACUUUGUACCCUAACACUGUAUGCCUAUUACAUUUGUGUCAUGGAG